Molecule: ribosomal RNA, 493 nt
Filed under: uncultured bacterium
Lineage: Bacteria
Description: partial 16S ribosomal RNA
Rfam family: Bacterial small subunit ribosomal RNA
Source: RNAcentral
ACGAACGCUGGCGGCGUGCUUAACACAUGCAAGUCGAACGGUGAAGCGCCUUCCUUUUUGGUGGGUGUGGAUGAGUGGCGAACGGGUGAGUAACACGUGAGUAACCUGCCCCCUUCUUCUGGAUAACCGCAUGAAAGUGUGGCUAAUACGGGAUAUUCUGGGUCUGUCGCAUGAUGGGUCUGGGAAAGAUAUUGUUUCGGUGGGGGAUGGGCUCGCGGCCUAUCAGCUUGUUGGUGGGGUGAUGGCCUACCAAGGCAGUGACGGGUAGCCGGCCUGAGAGGGUGGACGGUCACACUGGGACUGAGACACGGCCCAGACUCCUACGGGAGGCAGCAGUGGGGAAUAUUGCACAAUGGGCGCAAGCCUGAUGCAGCGACGCCGCGUGAGGGAUGGAGGCCUUCGGGUUGUGAACCUCUUUCGCCAGUGAAGCAGGCCUGCCUCGUUUGUGGGUGGGUUGACGGUAGCUGGAUAAGAAGCGCCGGCUAACUACGUG